UCUACGGGAGGCAGCAGCAAGGAAUCUUCCGCAAUGGGCGAAAGCCUGACGGAGCAACGCCGCGUGUGGGAUGACGCCUUUCGGGGUGUAAACCACUUUUCUCAGGGAAGAAGCACUGACGGUACCUGAGGAAGAAGGACCGGCUAACUACGUGCCAGCAGCCGCGGUAAUACGUAGGGUCCGAGCGUUGUCCGGAGUUACUGGGCGUAAAGCGCGCGCAGGCGGCGGUGUAAGCAUGGCGUGAAAGCCCCAGGCUCAACCUGGGAGGGUCGUCGUGGACUGCACCGCUUGAGGGCGGUAGGGGCUGGUGGAAUGCCUGGUGUAGUGGUGAAAUGCGUAGAGAUCAGGCGGAACACCCGUGGCGAAGGCGGCCAGCUGGGCCGUCCCUGACGCUGAGGCGCGAAGGCGUGGGGAGCGAACGGGAUUAGAUACCCCGGUAGUCCACGCAGUAAACGAUGCAGACUAGGCGUGGGGGGAGUUGACCCCCUCCGUGCCGGAGCCAACGCGGGAAGUCUGCCGCCUGGGGAGUACGGCCGCAAGGCUAAAACUCAAAGGAAUUGACGGA
Molecule: ribosomal RNA, 565 nt
Filed under: uncultured bacterium
Lineage: Bacteria
Description: bacterial SSU rRNA
Rfam family: Bacterial small subunit ribosomal RNA
Source: RNAcentral